Molecule: ribosomal RNA, 252 nt
Filed under: uncultured bacterium
Lineage: Bacteria
Description: partial 16S ribosomal RNA
Rfam family: Bacterial small subunit ribosomal RNA
Source: RNAcentral
UACGAAGGGUGCAAGCGUUAAUCGGAAUUACUGGGCGUAAAGGGCGCGUAGGCGGCGUGGUAAGUCACUUGUGAAAUCUCUGAGCUUAACUCAGAACGGUCAAGUGAUACUGCUGUGCUAGAGUGCGGAAGGGGCAAUCGGAAUUCUUGGUGUAGCGGUGAAAUGCGUAGAUAUCAAGAGGAACACCUGAGGUGAAGACGGGUUGCUGGGCCGACACUGACGCUGAUGCGCGAAAGCCAGGGAGCAAACGGG